AUGAACGCUGGCGGCGUGCCUAAUACAUGCAAGUAGAACGCUGAAGGAGGAGCUUGCUCUUCUGGAUGAGUUGCGAACGGGUGAGUAACGCGUAGGUAACCUGCCUGGUAGCGGGGGAUAACUAUUGGAAACGAUAGCUAAUACCGCAUGACAACAGUUAUUGCAUGAUAACUGUUUAAAAGGGGCAACUGCUCCACUACCAGAUGGACCUGCGUUGUAUUAGCUAGUUGGUGAGGUAACGGCUCACCGAGGCGACGAUACAUAGCCGACCUGAGAGGGUGAUCGGCCACACUGGGACUGAGACACGGCCCAGACUCCUACGGGAGGCAGCAGUAGGGAAUCUUCGGCAAUGGACGGAAGUCUGACCGAGCAACGCCGCGUGAGUGAAGAAGGUUUUCGGAUCGUAAAGCUCUGUUGUAAGAGAAGAACGAGUGUGAGAGUGGAAAGUUCACACUGUGACGGUAGCUUACCAGAAAGGGACGGCUAACUACGUG
RNAcentral lists this ribosomal RNA (494 nucleotides) under uncultured bacterium. RNAcentral's name for it is "partial 16S ribosomal RNA". It matches the Rfam family "Bacterial small subunit ribosomal RNA", at positions 29 to 507 of the family's 1533-position model. The record is from RNAcentral.